GUCCACGCCGUAAACGAUGGACACUAGGCGUCGGGGGAGCGACCCCCUCGGUGCCGUCGCUAACGCAGUAAGUGUCCCGCCUGGGGAGUACGGCCGCAAGGCUGAAACUCAAAGGAAUUGACGGGGCCCGCACAAGCGGUGGAGCAUGUGGUUUAAUUCGAAGCAACGCGAAGAACCUUACCUGGGCUUGACAUGCUGGUGUAAGCCGGUGGAAACAUCGGCCCCUUUCGGAGCGCCAGCACAGGUGCUGCAUGGCUGUCGU
This 262-nucleotide ribosomal RNA is filed under the name uncultured bacterium. Its description in RNAcentral is "partial 16S ribosomal RNA". It matches the Rfam family "Bacterial small subunit ribosomal RNA", at positions 793 to 1055 of the family's 1533-position model. The record is from RNAcentral.